This is a long non-coding RNA of Hydra vulgaris (swiftwater hydra), 152 nucleotides long. RefSeq lists it as uncharacterized. NCBI's taxonomy places the organism in Eukaryota, Metazoa, Cnidaria, Hydrozoa, Anthoathecata, Hydridae. The record is from RefSeq and is a predicted model, not a curated record.
GUUUGUCAGUCAGCAAGUGACUUUUGUAACUUUUAAAUUUAUUUUGUUUAGAAAAGUUAGAAGAUUCUGUUGAGAAUCUAAAAAAAUUAGAACAUUCAAUGGGGCUUAUAUUUCAACAACUUAGUAAGUUACUAUAUUGUUGUUGUGGAUUG